AUUGCAGGCUGCAACCCGCCCUGCAUGAAGUCGGAAUUGCUAGUAAUCGCGGAUCAGCAUGCCGCGGUGAAUACGUUCCCGGGCCUUGUACACACCGCCCGUCACACCAUGGGAGCCGGUAAUACCCGAAGUCAGUAGUCCAACCACGUGAGGACGCUGCCGAAGGUAGGAUUGGCGACUGGGGUGAAGUCGUAACAAGGUAAC
This 204-nucleotide ribosomal RNA is filed under the name uncultured bacterium. Its description in RNAcentral is "partial 16S ribosomal RNA". It matches the Rfam family "Bacterial small subunit ribosomal RNA", at positions 1297 to 1500 of the family's 1533-position model. The record is from RNAcentral.